This 497-nucleotide ribosomal RNA is filed under the name uncultured bacterium. RNAcentral describes it as "partial 16S ribosomal RNA". It matches the Rfam family "Bacterial small subunit ribosomal RNA", at positions 28 to 507 of the family's 1533-position model. The record is from RNAcentral.
GAUGAACGCUGGCGGCGUGCCUAAUACAUGCCAGUCGAGCGAACGGACGAGAAGCUUGCUUCUCUGAUGUUAGCGGCGGACGGGUGAGUAACACGUGGAUAACCUACCUAUAAGACUGGGAUAACUUCGGGAAACCGGAGCUAAUACCGGAUGAUAUUUUGAACCGCAUGGUUCAAAAGUGAAAGACGGUCUUGCUGUCACUUAUAGAUGGAUCCGCGCUGCAUUAGCUAGUUGGUAAGGUAAUGGCUUACCAAGGCAACGAUGCAUAGCCGACCUGAGAGGGUGAUCGGCCACACUGGAACUGAGACACGGUCCAGACUCCUACGGGAGGCAGCAGUAGGGAAUCUUCCGCAAUGGGCGAAAGCCUGACGGAGCAACGCCGCGUGAGUGAUGAAGGUCCUCGGAUCGUAAAACUCUGUUAUUAGGGAAGAACAUAUGUGUAAGUAACUGUGCACAUCUUGACGGUACCUAAUCAGAAAGCCACGGCUAACUACGUG